Etheostoma cragini (Arkansas darter) is the source of this 535-nucleotide long non-coding RNA. RefSeq lists it as uncharacterized. The transcript is spliced from 3 exons. Lineage: Eukaryota; Metazoa; Chordata; Actinopteri; Perciformes; Percidae. The record is from RefSeq and is a predicted model, not a curated record.
UUCUUAAAGGUCCCGUGUCACUUUGAGUUUUCAACAAUAAUAUGAGUUCCCCCAGUCUGUCCAUGAUCCCCCAGUGGCUAGAAAUGGUGAUAGGUGUAAAUCGAGCCCUGGUUAUCCUGCUCUGCCUUUGAGGAAAUGAAAGCUCAGGUGGGCCAAUCUGGAACUUACACCUUAUGAGGUCAUAAGGGGCAAGGUUACCUCCCCUUUCUCGGCUUUGCCUGACCAGAGCAUUUGGCCCAUCCAUGAGAGAAAGACAUCAUGGCUUUCAGACCAGCAAACUGUCAGUUGGUCAAGGCCACACACCCCAGCCUCCACCUUGCCCCCGCCCCCCUCCUCAAAAGCUACAGACUCAGAAACAGCACAUCCCAAGGAAAUCUCAUUGUUGGACUGGCUCUAGUGGCUUUAAUUUUGCACCAAGGCUGUAUUUUGAAAAAAAAAAGACUUCAGAUAUGGUAUUAGGGGACCACUAAGGUCUAUAUAAAAGCAUCCAAGAGCACCAUGUCGUGGGACCUUUUAAAGGCAGCCAAAUGACUUG